CCUACGGGUGGCAGCAGGGAGGAAUAGUGGUCAAUGGGCGCGAGCCGGAACCAGCCAAGGCGCGGGAGGGAAGACGGCCCUACGGGGUGUAAACCUCGUUUGCCGGGGAGCAACGGGCGCCACGUGUGGCGCCACUGAGAGGACCCGGAGAAAAAGCAGCGGCGAACUCCGUGCCAGCAGCCGCGGUAAUACGGAGGAUGCGAGCGUUAUCCGGAUUUAUUGGGUUGAAAGGGUGCGUAGGCGGAGCGUUAAGUCCGUGGUCAAAUUGAGGGGCUCAACCCCUUCCCGCCAUUGAAACUGGCGCUCUUGAGUGGAGGAGAGGUAUGCGGAAUUCCUGGUGUAGCGGUGAAAUGCUUAGAUAUCAGGAGGAACAUCGGUGGCGUACGCGCUUUACUGGGCCGUAAUUGACGCUGAGGAACGAAAGCCCGGGUAGCACAUGGGAUUAGAUACCCUUGUAGUC
RNAcentral lists this ribosomal RNA (460 nucleotides) under uncultured bacterium. RNAcentral's name for it is "partial 16S ribosomal RNA". It matches the Rfam family "Bacterial small subunit ribosomal RNA", at positions 338 to 795 of the family's 1533-position model. The record is from RNAcentral.